AACAUCCUGGCACCACACUCCCAGUCAAAGAAAUGUGCUCACCUACCAACCACUCUACACAAGAUAAGAACAAUGACCAACAAGAAAAAGGAGACCUUGACAUCAGUGGUAUAAAUAAUACAUUGGAGAGGUUGUUAAACUGAAAUUAUCUCGGAGCUGGCAGUGAGGAAACGCAUAAGGAGAAGCAGAUGAUUCUAUUGUAUCGAUCAACACAGAAGACCUUGACAUCAGUGGUAUAAAUAAUACAUUGGAGAGGUUGUUAAACUGAAAUUAUCUCGGAGCUGGCAGUGAGGCAACGCAUAAGGAGAAGCAGAUGAUUCUAUUGUAUCGAUCAACACACAGAGUAAGAUGUUACACACACGGUUACAAUGUGCUAAAAGCAUAGUGAUCACAGGAAGCAAGUGAUAUCUUAUGAGCUGUAAUUACUGUAUAAAGCGGCCCAUAAAUCAGGGGUCUACAGGGGUCAAGUGAUCAGCAAAAUCCAACACGUUGUAAACCCUCAAUUCAGAUCCGGUUCCUGGAGGGCCCUGCAUUUGGAAUAACCAGGCUCCUUUGAACCACCAUAGGUCUGUC
Molecule: long non-coding RNA, 573 nt
Organism: Pseudophryne corroboree (corroboree frog)
Lineage: Eukaryota; Metazoa; Chordata; Amphibia; Anura; Myobatrachidae
Exons: 3
Source: RefSeq, a predicted model, not a curated record